AUUGCAUGGUAUUUUAUCAGGGGAGAAAAAAUAAAACUGAGAUCCAAUUUCAUGAAAAUGCUGUUUUCAUAAUGCUCAGGAGGACAGGGGGAAGAGAGACUGUCCAGUCUUCCCAAGGUCUACCUCACGUGCAGAUGUACACCGCCUUUUCCCAGUUUAGAAAGAAUGUGCCUGGAAGAAGCACCUGAGGCCAGCCUUGACCUUCUACCACUCAUAUGGUGGGAAGACAGAAGCAAACUGCUGUUAAGAAAAGCUGGAGCCAGACAUGAUGGUGCACACCUUUAAUCCCAGCACUCGGGAGGCAGAGGGUAAUUUUUCUUAGACACAGGCUAGAAACUGGACUCCUUGGUCAUACUCCCAACAACUUGGUAUGGCUUCAUGCUUCUGUCACCAACCAGGAACGGCUGUCACAAAAGCAGAAGCAGCCCUCUUCCCCAGGGUCUACCUUGUUCUGCCUUGCUCAGCCACCUUGUCCCAGUCGUCAGAGUCCAGGGCAGAGGUAGUGCUCAUCUAUUGCCAAAUCACUGGGACGAAGGAAUUGCCAAGUAUGUUUCCUCCUCACAGGACAUGCACACAGCUUCAGCUUGCAUCUCAGUGGCUCAAACAUCAUGGUUUGUCUAAACCUAGAUGCAAGAGAAAUUGGGACAUAAAAGUCUUCAUUCUAGUUGACCAGCUAAAAAUUGGAGAUA
Jaculus jaculus (lesser Egyptian jerboa) is the source of this 689-nucleotide long non-coding RNA. RefSeq lists it as uncharacterized. The record is from RefSeq and is a predicted model, not a curated record. The transcript is spliced from 3 exons. Lineage: Eukaryota; Metazoa; Chordata; Mammalia; Rodentia; Dipodidae.